GACGAACGCUGGCGGCGUGCCUAAUACAUGCAAGUUGAGCGCUGAAGGUUGGUACUUGUACCAAAUGGAUGAGCAGCGAACGGGUGAGUAACGCGUGGGGAAUCUGCCUUUGAGCGGGGGACAACAUUUGGAAACGAAUGCUAAUACCGCAUAAAAACUUUAAACACAAGUUUUAAGUUUGAAAGAUGCAAUUGCAUCACUCAAAGAUGAUCCCGCGUUGUAUUAGCUAGUUGGUGAGGUAAAGGCUCACCAAGGCGAUGAUACAUAGCCGACCUGAGAGGGUGAUCGGCCACAUUGGGACUGAGACACGGCCCAAACUCCUACGGGAGGCAGCAGUAGGGAAUCUUCGGCAAUGGACGAAAGUCUGACCGAGCAACGCCGCGUGAGUGAAGAAGGUUUUCGGAUCGUAAAACUCUGUUGGUAGAGAAGAACGUUGGUGAGAGUGGAAAGCUCAUCAAGUGACGGUAACUACCCAGAAAGGGACGGCUAACUACGUG
Molecule: ribosomal RNA, 497 nt
Filed under: uncultured bacterium
Lineage: Bacteria
Description: partial 16S ribosomal RNA
Rfam family: Bacterial small subunit ribosomal RNA
Source: RNAcentral